This 433-nucleotide ribosomal RNA is filed under the name uncultured bacterium. RNAcentral's name for it is "partial 16S ribosomal RNA". It matches the Rfam family "Bacterial small subunit ribosomal RNA", at positions 29 to 507 of the family's 1533-position model. The record is from RNAcentral.
AAUGAACGCUGGCGGCAUGCCUAACACAUGCAAGUCGAACGAGACCUUCGGGACAGCUUGCUCACGGGUGCGUCACGUGUUGGAAGCUUGCCUUAGGUUUGGAAUAACCCUCCGUAAGGGGUGCUAAUAUCGGAUAAUGUCUUCGGACAAAACAUGUAUCGCCUUGGGAUGGGCCCGCGUUGGAUUAGCUAGUUGGUAGGGUAAAAGCCUACCAAGGCGACGAUCCAUAGCUGGUCUGAGAGGAUGAUCAGCCACACUGGGACUGAGACACGGCCCAGACUCCUACGGGAGGCAGCAGUGGGGAAUAUUGCACAAUGGAGGAAAGCCUGAUGCAGCAAGGCCGCGUGAGUGAUGAAGUACUUAGAGAUGUAAAGCUCUUUUAGCCGGGAUGAUAAUGACGGUACCGGAAGAAUAAGCUCCGGCUAACUCCGUG